This 460-nucleotide ribosomal RNA is filed under the name uncultured bacterium. RNAcentral describes it as "bacterial SSU rRNA". It matches the Rfam family "Bacterial small subunit ribosomal RNA", at positions 33 to 507 of the family's 1533-position model. The record is from RNAcentral.
AGGACGACGCUGGCGGCGUGCUUAACACAUGCAAGUCGGACGGUCGGCACUGGAAGGUUCGCUGGAAGGUGCCGAUAGUGGCGGACGGGUGAGUAACGCGUGAGGACAUGGCUCCAGGAGGGGGAUAACGUUUGGAAACGGACGCUAAGACCCCAUAAGCCGGGAGGUGAAAAUGGCGCAAGCCAGCCUGGAGAGUGACUCGCGUCCUAUCAGCUGGUUGUGGGGUGACGGCCCACCAAGGCGAUGACGGGUAGCCGACCUGAGAGGGUGGCCGGCCACACUGGAACUGAGAUACGGUCCAGACUCCUACGGGAGGCAGCAGUGGGGAAUAUUGGGCAAUGGGCGCAAGCCUGACCCAGCGACGCCGCGUGGGGGAAGAAGUCUUUCGGGACGUAAACCCAUGUUGUACGGGACGAAGGAAGUGACGGUACCGUACGAGGAAGCCCCGGCAAACUACGUG